AACAUAUUACCUCCGUCCUAAAUUACUUGUCUUAGAUUUGUCUAGAUAUAGAUGUAUCUAGACACAUUUUAAUGUUAGAUACAUCCAUGUAUAUAGACAAAUCUAAACAUGUCUAGAUACAUAAUCUAAGACAAGUAAUUCUGGAUGGAGGGAGUACAUC
Molecule: non-coding RNA, 160 nt
Organism: Triticum aestivum (bread wheat)
Lineage: Eukaryota; Viridiplantae; Streptophyta; Magnoliopsida; Poales; Poaceae
Source: Rfam